Molecule: transfer RNA, 68 nt
Filed under: Lepidochelys kempii (Atlantic ridley)
Lineage: Eukaryota; Metazoa; Chordata; Testudines; Cheloniidae
Also listed under: 1 other name
Description: tRNA-Val
Rfam family: tRNA
About the family: Transfer RNA (tRNA) molecules are approximately 80 nucleotides in length. Their secondary structure includes four short double-helical elements and three loops (D, anti-codon, and T loops).
Source: RNAcentral
CAAAACAUAGCUUAAUCAAAGCAUUCAGCUUACACCUGAAAGACGUCCAUUAAACCGGACUAUUUUGA